UACAGAGGUCUCAAGCGUUGUUCGGAUUCAUUGGGCGUAAAGGGUGCGUAGGUGGUGAUGCAAGUCUGGUGUGAAAUCUCGGAGCUCAACUCCGAAAUUGCACCGGAUACUGCGUGACUCGAGGACUGUUGAGGAGAUCGGAAUUCACGGUGUAGCAGUGAAAUGCGUAGAUAUCGUGAGGAAGACCAGUUGCGAAGGCGGAUCUCUGGGCAGUUCCUGACACUGAGGCACGAAGGCCAGGGGAGCAAACGGG
This 253-nucleotide ribosomal RNA is filed under the name uncultured bacterium. RNAcentral describes it as "partial 16S ribosomal RNA". It matches the Rfam family "Bacterial small subunit ribosomal RNA", at positions 524 to 776 of the family's 1533-position model. The record is from RNAcentral.